This is a long non-coding RNA of Poeciliopsis prolifica (blackstripe livebearer), 282 nucleotides long. RefSeq lists it as uncharacterized. Lineage: Eukaryota; Metazoa; Chordata; Actinopteri; Cyprinodontiformes; Poeciliidae. The record is from RefSeq and is a predicted model, not a curated record. The transcript has 3 exons.
CGAACAUCAGGGAGGCCCCAGUGGUGAAACUGUACUUACCCACCAUCUCCAGAGCAAGAGAAACACUAAGUACAUCUAACACAGUAGUGAUAUGAACAGCGGCAGAGAUCCAAGGAUCAAUGUCCCAGAGACAGAAAGUCGCCGGGGAAGGAAUCUGAGUGCGAUCCAGCUGGAUACGUAUGCAGGGAUCUCCACCACUGCAGCGAUGAAGCAGCUCAUGUUUGACUGUUGAAAGAAAGGAUUUCUGAUUUGAACCACAUAGGCUGUUUGAAGGACAACUUA